CAGGCCUAACACAUGCAAGUCGAACGAGAAAGUUUUCUUCGGAAAACGAGUACAGUGGCGCACGGGUGAGUAACGCGUGAAUAAUCUACCCCUGAAUUUGGGAUAACAGUUCGAAAGGGCUGCUAAUACCGGAUGACAUAAUUCUUACCACGGUUUGAAUUGUCAAAGAGGGCCUCUCCUUGGAAGCUCUUGUUUGGGGAUGAGUUCGCGUCCCAUUAGCUUGUUGGUAAGGUAACGGCUUACCAAGGCAACGAUGGGUAGCUGGUCUGAGAGGAUGAUCAGCCACACUGGAACUGACACACGGUCCAGACUCCUACGGGAGGCAGCAGUGAGGAAUUUUGCGCAAUGGGGGAAACCCUGACGCAGCAACGCCGCGUGAGUGAUGAAGGCUCUUGGGUCGUAAAGCUCUGUCAAGUGGGAAGAAACCUUCCUUAUUUAAUAGAUAAGGGAAUUGACGGUACCACUGAAGGAAGCACCGGCUAACUCCGUGCCAGCAGCCGCGGUAACACGGGGGGUGCAAGCGUUAUUCGGAAUUAUUGGGCGUAAAGGGCGCGUAGGCGGCCGUUUAAGUCGGGUGUGAAAUCCCGGGGCUUAACCCCGGAACUGCAUCCGAUACUGGAUGGCUUGAGUAUGGGAGAGGGAAGUGGAA
RNAcentral lists this ribosomal RNA (649 nucleotides) under uncultured bacterium. RNAcentral's name for it is "bacterial SSU rRNA". It matches the Rfam family "Bacterial small subunit ribosomal RNA", at positions 43 to 666 of the family's 1533-position model. The record is from RNAcentral.